RNAcentral lists this ribosomal RNA (497 nucleotides) under uncultured bacterium. RNAcentral describes it as "partial 16S ribosomal RNA". It matches the Rfam family "Bacterial small subunit ribosomal RNA", at positions 28 to 507 of the family's 1533-position model. The record is from RNAcentral.
GAUGAACGCUGGCGGCGUGCCUAAUACAUGCAAGUCGAGCGAACAGACGAGGAGCUUGCUCCUCUGACGUUAGCGGCGGACGGGUGAGUAACACGUGGAUAACCUACCUAUAAGACUGGGAUAACUUCGGGAAACCGGAGCUAAUACCGGAUAAUAUAUUGAACCGCAUGGUUCAAUAGUGAAAGACGGUUUUGCUGUCACUUAUAGAUUGAUCCGCGCCGCAUUAGCUAGUUGGUAAGGUAACGGCUUACCAAGGCAACGAUGCGUAGCCGACCUGAGAGGGUGAUCAGCCACACUGGAACUGAGACACGGUCCAGACUCCUACGGGAGGCAGCAGUAGGGAAUCUUCCGCAAUGGGCGAAAGCCUGACGGAGCAACGCCGCGUGAGUGAUGAAGGUCUUCGGAUCGUAAAACUCUGUUAUUAGGGAAGAACAAAUGUGUAAGUAACUAUGCACGUCUUGACGGUACCUAAACAGAAAGCCACGGCUAACUACGUG